RNAcentral lists this ribosomal RNA (506 nucleotides) under uncultured bacterium. RNAcentral's name for it is "bacterial SSU rRNA". It matches the Rfam family "Bacterial small subunit ribosomal RNA", at positions 19 to 518 of the family's 1533-position model. The record is from RNAcentral.
CUGGCUCAGGAUGAACGCUGGCGGCGUGCCUAAUACAUGCAAGUCGAACGAGAGUGCUUGCACUCUAGUGGCGAACGGGUGAGUAACACGUAGGUAACCUGCCUUACAGUUUGGGAUACCCUGGCGAAAGCUAGGCUAAUACCGAAUAAUUGGAUUGGAGGCAUCUCCGAUCUCUAAAAGGGGCCUUUAAAGCCUCGCUGAAUGAUGGACCUGCGGCGCAUUAGCUAGUUGGUGAGAUAACAGCCCACCAAGGCGAGGAUGCGUAGCCGACCUGAGAGGGUGAACGGCCACACUGGAACUGAGACACGGUCCAGACUCCUACGGGAGGCAGCAGUAGGGAGUUUUCGGCAAUGGGGGCAACCCUGACCGAGCAACGCCGCGUGAAUGAUGAAGGUCCUUCGGAUUGUAAAGUUCUGUUAUAAGGGAAAAAUGAUAUGGUGAGGAAAUGCUCCAUAUUUGAUGGUACCUUAUUAGAAAGCCACGGCUAACUACGUGCCAGCAGCAGC